GCUCAACGUGGAGGAGGAAGGAAGGAAAAUUCAAAGAUGCCACGUAAAGAAAGACGGCAGAAACAAAAAAGAAAAGAAUUGAUAGAUGCAGCAAAAGGUAGUGGAUUGUUGACCGACUGGGUCAGAACGAGUACUGCAGAUGGACAGAAGGAAAGUGAUAGAUCAGAGGAGGAGACAAAAAUGCAGUCAACAACACAGGAAGACAGGCAAGGAGAGGGACAACAGUCAGAAAUCAAAGACACAGAAAUGCAGUCAACACAGGAAGACAGGCAAGGAGAGGGACAACAGUCAGAAAUAAACACUAUGGAUGAAAAUGCAGAGCAACAAGUCAGAGAGAAGCCAUUCAUAUUUUUAAUGGACCUUCCACACCCAAAUGACCCAGCACAUGUCUUGCAAUUCAACAUAAAAUAUGAUGAAGCAUUUAUCCAAAAUUGUGUAAACCAAGGACCAUGCCAACCAGAGCUGUCAUUUCCUAAAAAUGAAGAAGGAAGGUC
Molecule: long non-coding RNA, 494 nt
Organism: Xiphophorus maculatus (southern platyfish)
Lineage: Eukaryota; Metazoa; Chordata; Actinopteri; Cyprinodontiformes; Poeciliidae
Exons: 3
Source: RefSeq, a predicted model, not a curated record